Molecule: ribosomal RNA, 253 nt
Filed under: uncultured bacterium
Lineage: Bacteria
Description: partial 16S ribosomal RNA
Rfam family: Bacterial small subunit ribosomal RNA
Source: RNAcentral
UACGUAGGGCCCGAGCGUUGUCCGGAGUUACUGGGCGUAAAGCGCGCGCAGGCGGCCCGUCAAGUCUGGCGUGAAAGCCCCCGGCUCAACCGGGGAGGGUCGUCGGAGACUGGCGGGCUUGAGGACGGCAGGGGUUGGUGGAAUUCCCGGUGUAGUGGUGAAAUGCGUAGAUAUCUGGAGGAACACCGGUGGCGAAGGCGGCAUCCUGGACCAAUAUUGACGCUGAGGAGCGAAAGCCAGGGGAGCAAACGGG